GUGCCAGCCGCCGCGGUAAUACGAAGGGUGCAAGCGUUACUCGGAAUUACUGGGCGUAAAGCGUGCGUAGGUGGUUUGUUAAGUCUGUCGUGAAAUCCCCGGGCUCAACCUGGGAAUGGCGAUGGAUACUGGCAAGCUAGAGUGAGGUAGAGGAGAGUGGAAUUCCCGGUGUAGCAGUGAAAUGCGUAGAGAUCGGGAGGAACAUCAGUUGCGAAGGCGGCUCUCUGGACCAUCACUGACACUGAGGCACGAAAGCGUGGGGAGCAAACAGGAUUAGAUACCCUGGUAGUCCACGCCCUAAACGAUGCGAACUGGACGUUGGGCUCAAUUAGGAGCUCAGUGUCGAAGCUAACGCGUUAAGUUCGCCGCCUGGGGAGUACGGUCGCAAGACUGAAACUCAAAGAAAUUGACGG
This 413-nucleotide ribosomal RNA is filed under the name uncultured bacterium. RNAcentral's name for it is "bacterial SSU rRNA". It matches the Rfam family "Bacterial small subunit ribosomal RNA", at positions 505 to 916 of the family's 1533-position model. The record is from RNAcentral.